This 274-nucleotide ribosomal RNA is filed under the name uncultured bacterium. Its description in RNAcentral is "partial 16S ribosomal RNA". It matches the Rfam family "Bacterial small subunit ribosomal RNA", at positions 523 to 796 of the family's 1533-position model. The record is from RNAcentral.
AUACGGAGGGUGCAAGCGUUGUUCGGAAUUACUGGGCGUAAAGGGCGCGCAGGCGGUUUGGUAAGUCAGAUGUGAAAGUCCAGGGCUUAACCCUGGAAGUGCAUAUGAAACUGUCAGACUUGAGUAUCAGAGGGGAAAGUGGAAUUCCCGGUGUAGAGGUGAAAUUCGUAGAUAUCGGGAGGAAUACCGGUGGCGAAGGCGACUUUCUGGCUGAAUACUGACGCUGAGGCACGAAAGCGUGGGGAGCGAACAGGAUUAGAUACCCCAGUAGUCC